CGAUGGUUCAUUCAAAUUUCUGCCCUAUCAACUUUCGAUGGUAGAGUAGUGGUCUACCAUGGUUUCAACGGGUAACGGGGAAUUAGGGUUCUAUUCCGGAGAGGGAGCUGAGAAACGGCUACCACAUCCAAGGAAGGCAGCAGGCGCGCAAAAUUACCCAAUCCCGACACGGGGAGGUAGUGACAAUAAAUACUGAUACAGGGCUCUUUUGGGUCUUGUAAGUUGGAAUGAGUACAAUUUAAAUCCCUUAACGAGGAACAAUUGGAGGGCAAGUCUGGUGCCAGCAGCCGCGGUAAUUCCAGCUCCAAUAGCGUAUAUUAACAGUUGUUGCAGUUAAAAAGCUCGUAGUUGAACCUUGGGCCUGGCUGGCCGGUCCGCCUCACCGGGUGCACUGGUCCGGCCGGCCUUUCCUUCUGGGGAGCCGCAUGCCUUCACUGGGUGUGUCGGGGAACCAGGACUUUUACUUUGAAAAAAUUAGAGUGUUCAAAGCAGGCCUAUGCUCGAAUACAUUAGCAUGGAAUAAUAGAA
This 528-nucleotide ribosomal RNA is filed under the name uncultured fungus. Its description in RNAcentral is "SSU rRNA". It matches the Rfam family "Eukaryotic small subunit ribosomal RNA", at positions 288 to 822 of the family's 1831-position model. The record is from RNAcentral. Lineage: Eukaryota; Fungi.